This 421-nucleotide ribosomal RNA is filed under the name uncultured bacterium. RNAcentral describes it as "bacterial SSU rRNA". It matches the Rfam family "Bacterial small subunit ribosomal RNA", at positions 379 to 793 of the family's 1533-position model. The record is from RNAcentral.
AAGCCUGAUGCAGCCAUGCCGCGUGUAUGAAGAAGGCCUUCGGGUUGUAAAGUACUUUCAGCAGUGAGGAAGGUGGAUAUGUUAAUAGCAUAUUCAUUUGACGUUAGCUGCAGAAGAAGCACCGGCUAACUCCGUGCCAGCAGCCGCGGUAAUACGGAGGGUGCGAGCGUUAAUCGGAAUUACUGGGCGUAAAGCGCAUGCAGGUGGUUUGUUAAGUCAGAUGUGAAAGCCCGGGGCUCAACCUCGGAAUUGCAUUUGAAACUGGCAAACUAGAGUACUGUAGAGGGGGUAGAAUUUCAGGUGUAGCGGUGAAAUGCGUAGAGAUCUGAAGGAAUACCGGUGGCGAAGGCGGCCCCCUGGACAGAUACUGACACUCAGAUGCGAAAGCGUGGGGAGCAAACAGGAUUAGAUACCCUGGUAG